GUCACCUGGGGCGGGACAGUGUGCUUGCUCCCUCCUCAGGGUCCUGCCCAGACCUCCCCACUCGUGUCCAUCCUUCCCCUCCCUGAAACCGGCUGUGCUUCGCUGAGUGGCUCUCACUCUGCAGUUUCUGGGCGAUCUUCCUGAUGUCCUGUCACCGCCUCAACCACAAGGUGGCGAUGAAGAGUGCGUUGCACUCACAGCAUCCACUCUUUAAUAUGCUCACAAAAUUUGGCUUUUACCCAAACUAGAAAAAUCAGGGAACCCCAGACUCAGGCCCAGUAGAGACCCCAAAGAAGCAGAGAAGGGUCAGUUCACUGAGGGGCCACACCUGCCCCAGGGCCAGGCCACUGUCCAUCCUGGUGCCACCACCGCCCUGCUGGCCUGGCCCCCCCCAACCAGACAGCAGUCCCCACCCAGCCCAGCACCGGUAAACUUGAGAAUAGGGGCCAAUCAACAGGGGGGCCAGGAGCCCCCAAGGUGCAGGGUGCACUGAGGGCCCCACCAGCCCUGCUGAACACAGGCCUGACACCACCUCUCUCCUUCGAGGCCACCGACGCUCCUGGGAGGCAGUCAGUGCCGUCCUCCCUGCGUCACCGGCAGAAGACUGAGGCUCAGAGGGGCAGAGUGACCUGCCUUGACCACCCACGCACGUCUAUGCCAGAGCACCAGGCUGCCCCAGCGGCUCCUCCCGGCCUUCUGCAGCCCCAUCACCCACCCACAUGGAACACGGCUGGGGUGGACUGCAGGGAUGGAGCUGGGGCAGGACACAGCCCUAGGAGCACCUGCCUGGCGCCAGCUUCUGCUGACGGCAGCCCAACAGCCCCCAGCCACGUGGCAAAGCGGGUCCCCAUGCAGCCCUGGCUGCAGCUGCUCCAGGGGUGGCCUGAGACUUCUCAAAGAUGCUGUGCCCGGUCCCCCGGAACCCCUACUUGGCCUGACCCCCCUGAUGCUGCAGGCCCCCAGCCCAGUCAGGUGGGGACACCCAGCACCCACCCGCAGGGAGGGGUGGCGUGCGGCCCACUGACCUCCCGGAAGAAGGCGGCAUUUCUCUGCACGCUGUCGCUGGCAUGAGCAGCCUGGAUCUCGGGGUAAAAGGAGCUGAUGACAUAGUCGAGCAGCUGCACUCUAAUGUCGUUCCUCCCCACGCUGGGGCCUGCACGCCCUGUGUGCUCAUCUGCAGACUUAAAAAUCUCAAAGGAUCCAAACCUGGAGGGAAGACCCGAGGCGUCAACAGGCCAAACCUGACCCCAGCCCCUUGUGAAAAUACAAAGGAUCCAAACCUGGAGGGAAGACCCGAGGCAUCAACAGGCCAAACCUGACCCCAGCCCCUUGUGAAAAUACAAAGGAUCCAAACCUGGAGGGAA
Pan troglodytes (chimpanzee) is the source of this 1364-nucleotide long non-coding RNA. RefSeq lists it as uncharacterized. Lineage: Eukaryota; Metazoa; Chordata; Mammalia; Primates; Hominidae. The record is from RefSeq and is a predicted model, not a curated record. The transcript is spliced from 2 exons.